Molecule: non-coding RNA, 120 nt
Organism: Picea glauca (white spruce)
Lineage: Eukaryota; Viridiplantae; Streptophyta; Pinopsida; Pinales; Pinaceae
Source: Rfam
UCAUGUAGCCAGAUCUAUUGAAUGGAUCCAACACCUCCAACAGACUGUGGUUAAGCGCGUUGGGGCUAGAGUAGUACUAGGAUGGGUGACUGAUUAGGAAGUCCUAGUUUUUUACAUGGC